Molecule: long non-coding RNA, 275 nt
Organism: Exaiptasia diaphana
Lineage: Eukaryota; Metazoa; Cnidaria; Anthozoa; Actiniaria; Aiptasiidae
Exons: 3
Source: RefSeq, a predicted model, not a curated record
GCCAGGUCACCAGGUGCAGCCGUGUACAAAGCUUUCAAAUUUCUUCAACAAAUUUCUUCAAACUCAUACCUGCAUACCACAACAUGUCUCGUCCUAAAGUUUUUUUUGAUAUGCUUGUYGGAACCGCUAGAGCAGGUCGUAUUGUCAUGGAGUUAAGGAAGGACAUCGUCCCCAAAACAGCAGAAAACUUCAGAGCCUUGUGCACUGGAGAGAAAGGAUUUGGUUACAAAGGGUCUUCAUUUCAUCGUGUUAUUCCUAGUUUUAUGUGUCAGGUA